Molecule: ribosomal RNA, 497 nt
Filed under: uncultured bacterium
Lineage: Bacteria
Description: partial 16S ribosomal RNA
Rfam family: Bacterial small subunit ribosomal RNA
Source: RNAcentral
GAGGAACGCUGGCGGCGUGCCUAAUACAUGCAAGUCGAGCGAACAGACGAGGAGCUUGCUCCUCUGACGUUAGCGGCGGACGGGUGAGUAACACGUGGAUAACCUACCUAUAAGACUGGGAUAACUUCGGGAAACCGGAGCUAAUACCGGAUAAUAUAUUGAACCGCAUGGUUCAAUAGUGAAAGACGGUUUUGCUGUCACUUAUAGAUGGAUCCGCGCCGCAUUAGCUAGUUGGUAAGGUAACGGCUUACCAAGGCAACGAUGCGUAGCCGACCUGAGAGGGUGAUCGGCCACACUGGAACUGAGACACGGUCCAGACUCCUACGGGAGGCAGCAGUAGGGAAUCUUCCGCAAUGGGCGAAAGCCUGACGGAGCAACGCCGCGUGAGUGAUGAAGGUCUUCGGAUCGUAAAACUCUGUUAUUAGGGAAGAACAAAUGUGUAAGUAACUAUGCACGUCUUGACGGUACCUAAUCAGAAAGCCACGGCUCACUACGUG